Molecule: transfer RNA, 77 nt
Filed under: Neobacillus niacini
Lineage: Bacteria; Bacillati; Bacillota; Bacilli; Caryophanales; Bacillaceae
Also listed under: 4 other names
Description: tRNA-Pro
Rfam family: tRNA
About the family: Transfer RNA (tRNA) molecules are approximately 80 nucleotides in length. Their secondary structure includes four short double-helical elements and three loops (D, anti-codon, and T loops).
Source: RNAcentral
CGGGAAGUAGCUCAGCUUGGCAGAGCACUUGGUUUGGGACCAAGGGGUCGCAGGUUCGAAUCCUGUCUUCCCGACCA